GAGUUUAAGACAGCAAUUCCCAGCUUUUUCAAAUAUGAAGCAUUUUUUAACCAAUCCGUUUUUUAAUUCUUAAAUUCUUGACAUUACAGAACUAAACUGAAAUUUAUUAACAUUCCACUCUUACAUUUCUUAUCGACAAACAGAAAUAAAAUUCAUGAGCCAAAAAACCCAAAACAAAACUAAAAACAGGGAAAAGCUUAUAAAACUAAAUAUGGAUCCCAGCAUUAACAGCUGAACAGAGAAUGUGAUUUUUAAAUUCUUAGCGGAUGAUAAAGUUGUGUAGAAACUGAACACUUACAAAUUAUUUAAAACCUGGAAUCACUGACCAGAAAUUACACAGUUGGAUCAUGGGAGAACAGCAGAAAGGGGUUAUUGAGGGAACCUACACUGUUCUAGCUGCACCCCAUGCCCUUCUCAGAGGAAAGCCUGGCAUUGAUUAGAUACUGGGCCAGACUAAUACUGGCAGCAGAGCCAGUGAUAGUAACCUGCCUACCAGAGGAGCCUUCCACUGGGUUGGCAAUUUUGAUCUGGGCCCCGGACAUCUGGCGGAUCUCAUUAAUGUUGGCGCCUUGGCGCCCGAUUAUGCAGCCAAUUAAGUUAUUUGGAAUGGUGAGUUCAUGGGUGGUUUGAGUAGAUGCAUCCAAACUUGCCCAAUAGCCUUUCACCUCUGGAGAGCUGGAGUCAAUUCCGGCGAAUCCGGUCCCGCCGUGCAUCAUGGCAAAGUGAGACUGUUGUCUUGCCACCUGGUUCAGCUUGGCCAGAUCGAGCGGAGAAAUGAGGAAGACAAACAUAAAGAUGAAGUGCUUAAUUCAAGGUCACACAAUGUCGGGGAUGGACCUCCAGAUUUCCUUACUGACCUGCAUUAUCUUGUGGAUACCUGAGUGAAUUCCACACCACCCAUUUUAUAGAUGAAACCACUGAGACAUGGAGCAAUUGACUGAGUAGUCACUGCCCCACCCCUGCCUGGAGCCUCACACAUGACUCGCCUCCUCUCAGUGACCACAGGUGAGACGUGGUCUUGUAACACAGUGGUUAAGAAUGUGACUUUGGAGCCAGCCUGCUAGGGGCUGAAUUCUGACUCAGCCAUUUACUAACUGUGUGACCUUAGGUCACAGAAUUUUCCACACUCCUUGACAGAGGUGCUUAACCCUUAUCCAUCAGCAUUCUCAGACAGCACCUCCGGUUAGGGACAGU
Long non-coding RNA from Homo sapiens (human), 1194 nucleotides. Ensembl annotates it as PCBP1 antisense RNA 1. Its record names the gene PCBP1-AS1. The record is from Ensembl. Lineage: Eukaryota; Metazoa; Chordata; Mammalia; Primates; Hominidae.